Molecule: transfer RNA, 72 nt
Filed under: Stomatella planulata
Lineage: Eukaryota; Metazoa; Mollusca; Gastropoda; Trochida; Trochidae
Description: tRNA-Pro
Source: RNAcentral
UAUGCGGGGCGAUAGUUUAAUAAAAAUAUUGGUAUUGGAAGCCAAAGAUUGGAGCUAACUUCCAUCCUCCGA